This 118-nucleotide ribosomal RNA is filed under the name uncultured bacterium. RNAcentral describes it as "partial 16S ribosomal RNA". It matches the Rfam family "Bacterial small subunit ribosomal RNA", at positions 1384 to 1500 of the family's 1533-position model. The record is from RNAcentral.
UACACACCGCCCGUCACACCAUGAGAGUUGGGAAUACCCGAAGCCUGUGAGCUAACUUUUAAGAGGCAGCAGUCGAAGGUAGAAUCAAUGAUUGGGGGUGAAGUCGUAACAAGGUAAC